RNAcentral lists this ribosomal RNA (305 nucleotides) under uncultured bacterium. RNAcentral describes it as "bacterial SSU rRNA". It matches the Rfam family "Bacterial small subunit ribosomal RNA", at positions 335 to 657 of the family's 1533-position model. The record is from RNAcentral.
GUGCCUACGGGGGGCAGCAGUGGGGAAUAUUGCACAAUGGGGGAAACCCUGAUGCAGCGACGCCGCGUGAGUGAAGAAGUAUUUCGGUAUGUAAAGCUCUAUCAGCAGGGAAGAAAAUGACGGUACCUGACUAAGAAGCCCCGGCUAACUACGUGCCAGCAGCCGCGGUAAUACGUAGGGGGCAAGCGUUAUCCGGAUUUACUGGGUGUAAAGGGAGCGCAGGCGGCGCGUUAAGCCUGGUGUGAAAGCCCGCGGCCCAACCGCGGGACUGCAUUGGGAACUGGCGCGCUGGAGUGCCGGAGGGG